This 305-nucleotide ribosomal RNA is filed under the name uncultured bacterium. RNAcentral describes it as "bacterial SSU rRNA". It matches the Rfam family "Bacterial small subunit ribosomal RNA", at positions 334 to 654 of the family's 1533-position model. The record is from RNAcentral.
GGUACCUACGGGGGGCAGCAGUGGGGAAUAUUGGGCAAUGGGCGCAAGCCUGACCCAGCAAUGCCGCGUGAAGGAAGAAGGCUUUCGGGUUGUAAACUUCUUUUGACAGGGAAGAGCAGAAGACGGUACCCGUCGAAUAAGCCACGGCUAACUACGUGCCAGCAGCCGCGGUAAUACGUAGGUGGCAAGCGUUGUCCGGAUUUACUGGGUGUAAAGGGCGUGUAGCCGGGCUGACAAGUCAGAUGUGAAAUCCGGGGGCUAAACCCACGAACUGCAUUUGAAAUUGUUGGUCUUGAGUAUAGGAG